UACGUAGGUGGCAAGCGUUGUCCGGAAUUACUGGGUGUAAAGGACGUGUAGGCGGCACUGCAAGUCAGAUGUGAAAUUCCCAAGCUCAACCUGGGGGCUGCAUCUGAAACUGUGGUUCUUGAGUGCUGGAGAGGAAAGCGGAAUUCCUAGUGUAGCGGUGAAAUGCGUAGAUAUUAGGAGGAACACCAGUGGCGAAGGCGGCUUUCUGGACAGUAACUGACGCUGAGGCGCGAAAGCGUGGUGAGCAAACAGG
RNAcentral lists this ribosomal RNA (253 nucleotides) under uncultured bacterium. RNAcentral's name for it is "partial 16S ribosomal RNA". It matches the Rfam family "Bacterial small subunit ribosomal RNA", at positions 524 to 776 of the family's 1533-position model. The record is from RNAcentral.